This 498-nucleotide ribosomal RNA is filed under the name uncultured bacterium. RNAcentral describes it as "partial 16S ribosomal RNA". It matches the Rfam family "Bacterial small subunit ribosomal RNA", at positions 28 to 507 of the family's 1533-position model. The record is from RNAcentral.
GACGAACGCUGGCGGCGUGCCUAAUACAUGCAAGUCGAACGAGAGCGACCGGUGCUUGCACUGGUCAAUCUAGUGGCGAACGGGUGAGUAACACGUGGGUAACCUGCCCAUCAGAGGGGGAUAACAUCCGGAAACGGAUGCUAAAACCGCAUAGGUCUUCGAGCCGCAUGGCUUGAAGAGGAAAAGAGGCGCAAGCUUCUGCUGAUGGAUGGACCCGCGGUGCAUUAGCUAGUUGGUGAGGUAACGGCUCACCAAGGCCGUGAUGCAUAGCCGACCUGAGAGGGUGAUCGGCCACAUUGGGACUGAGACACGGCCCAAACUCCUACGGGAGGCGGCAGUAGGGAAUCUUCCGCAAUGGACGCAAGUCUGACGGAGCAACGCCGCGUGAGUGAAGAAGGUUUUCGGAUCGUAAAACUCUGUUGUUAGAGAAGAACAAGUGCUAGAGUAACUGUUAGCGCCUUGACGGUAUCUAACCAGAAAGCCACGGCUAACUACGUG